RNAcentral lists this long non-coding RNA (220 nucleotides) under Sparus aurata (gilthead seabream). RNAcentral's name for it is "lncRNA (ENSSAUG00010017848.1)". Lineage: Eukaryota; Metazoa; Chordata; Actinopteri; Spariformes; Sparidae. The record is from RNAcentral.
UCUGGCCUGCCAUUGGCUCCCUGAGGUCUGAUGGCGUAGAGACAACUUCUCAGCUCUCUCUCUCUCUCUCUCUCUCUCUCUCUCUCUCUCUCUCUCUAUGUUGAACCGUUCUCUGGGAAAAGCAGAUCAGCGCUCCGCAGAGAUUCCAGAGGAUACGCUCUCCGGUUCUGUUGACGAAGGGACUCCCAGCCUGUGAAGGGAAGACGCAGAAUGAUGCCAC